RNAcentral lists this ribosomal RNA (253 nucleotides) under uncultured bacterium. Its description in RNAcentral is "partial 16S ribosomal RNA". It matches the Rfam family "Bacterial small subunit ribosomal RNA", at positions 524 to 776 of the family's 1533-position model. The record is from RNAcentral.
UACGUAGGGGGCUAGCGUUGUCCGGAAUCAUUGGGCGUAAAGAGCGUGUAGGCGGCCCGGUAAGUCCGCUGUAAAAGUCAAAGGCUCAACCUUUGAAUGUCAGUGGAUACUGCCGGGCUAGAGUCCGGAAGAGGCGAGUAGAACUCCUGGUGUAGCGGUGGAAUGCGCAGAUAUCAGGAAGAACACCAACGGCGAAGGCAGCUCGCUGGGACGGUACUGACGCUGAGACGCGAAAGCGUGGGGAGCGAACAGG